UAUCUUUUUUCUUGCUCGCCUGGUGUUUAGGCACACGGGCUUCAUAUUAACAACUGAAAAUAUAUCCUUAAGAUUUUUUUUUCUUGUCGCGUAUUACUUCUUAUGAUAAGUAAAAGAAAAAAAAAACAAAAAACAAAAAACAAAAAACUUAGUUAAGAAUCGGAGACAUCGUAAACUGCCACAGUGAUAAGGGAUUUUUAUUUUUUUUUUCCUGCGCCCUUUAAAAAAAAAAAAAAAAAAACAAUAAACAGUGGAUGUUUUACAGUGCAGUCAGAUAGGGUCGAGUGUCUCUCCUCCCCUGCACACCGCGGGUACCUGACGAGCAGAUCUGGAUUAAGACUAAUGAACCGGGGGUAAAUAAUCUCCACGGGACCGUUGACGGGACGGAAAGACGGACUCAUUACCUCGCUGUGGGAUUUUUGUUGCUUUUCUUUUUUCUACACUUCUUCAUUCUGAGGAACGGACGAUGUCUCUCCGCGGAUACUUUGUCGCUUUUUUAAAAUGCACAGUUGUGCUCUCGCUGAGGAUUUUGCUUCUUGUGCCUGCAGGGUUGCCCGUCCACAGCCAAGGGGAUUCUCAAUCCGACAACAAAGUGAUGGACAAUAUCACCGUGCGACAAGGAGAGACGGUCUUCCUCAGGUGUGCUCAGGGGGAUAUUGUCACACACACAGCAUGGCUAAACCGAUCAAGUAUACUGUAUGCUGGAGAAGACAAAUGGUCAGUGGACCCAAGAGUGAGUCUGGUGACCCUUAAUCAAGAGGAGUUUACCAUCAAGAUUGAAAACGUGGACAUGACAGAUGAAGGGCAGUAUGUGUGCGCAGUCCAGACAAGCAGUCGACCGAGAACCACCUCAGUGCACAUCCUCGUCCAAGUACCACCAAAAAUCAUCAACCUGUCAAGAGAUAUAGUAGUUAAUGAAGGCUCCAACAUCACCCUGUUGUGUCAAGCCAGUGGUAAACCAGAGCCUUCCAUCAGCUGGAAACUCAUCUCCCCUUCAGGGGACCUGGCAUCAGAUGAUGAGUACCUGGAAAUCCCAUCCAUCUCCAGACAGAGAGCAGGGACGUACGAAUGCACAGCUGUGAAUGAUAUCGACACAGAUGUCCAGACUGUAGACAUCACUGUCAACUAUGCUCCGACAGUGUCAGAGGGCAGAGAUGUUGGAGUGACUCUAGGCCAAAGAGGAGUGUUGGAGUGUGAGGCUGAUGCAGUGCCUGAGGCAGAUUUUGAGUGGUAUAAAGAUGACAGAAGGAUUUUCAAUGGUUUUGAUGGCAUGGAAAUUGUGAAUACUGGAUCACUGUCAAAGCUGACUUUUUUUAACGUCACCGAUGGAGAUUAUGGAAACUACACUUGUGUCGCCAUCAACAAACUUGGGAGCUCAAACACAAGCUUCCUUCUGUUUGCUGUACGUCCUACCAGGAAAAUAGGGAGGGCAAACACAAAAAGCUGUAGAACCUCACUGAAGGUUGAAGGCUGGAUCUGCAAAUAGUGAUAAACCCAUCUUGCCAUUUAAUGCAUCCUUUUGACCGCUGGUUGCUGCAUCUUGACCGAGAGCAGUUCAGGAUGGCAGCGGCGCUGCAGUGGGAGUGCACUCACAAACCUGUCUCCUCUUCUUGGUUUUUCUGCCGUUCCUGCUCAGAUUUUGAAGAGGGAUGGAUUUGAACACAAAUAGUGCGUGUGUGUGUGUGUGUGUGUGUGUGUGUGUGUGUGUGUGUGUGUGUGUGUGUGUGUGUGUGCGUGUGCAUGUGUGUGUGAGUGGCGUGUCUGUGUGUGGUUGCUUGUGUGCGUGCCUGACUCUUUUUUUUUUUUUUUUCAAACUGGAAACAUAAACUGAUGCACAGUGAGUGCACGGAUUGUCCUGCUACAUAAUGAUGUUGACCCACUAAAUAAGAGUGUAACAAACAUUGCUGUUGUUUUUUAGAUUUCGAGGAUGUAACAAAUGAUUUACAUUUGAAUUGAAUUCUGUUGGAUAUUUUUUCUCUCUAAAUUAUAUUAUUCUGGAUUGUCUCAUUUUAUGUAUAUGUCACAGAAAAGAAGAUUUUUUUAGAUGUGGUGUCUCCAAUCUAAAUUGAUUUGUCUUAAUUUUUAAGCGCAUUGCAUAUUCAUCUCAACUCCAGGAAAAGGUACAUUUACAGCAAGUAUGUGAGGUGAAUGUUAAAUACCUCAAAGUCAAACCGAGACAGUGAGGCAGAAGGAAUUUAGGAACCCUGAGGCGGAAAGCCUGGUGGUAUCAUAUUUUAAUGUAUAAUAAUUAUCAUUCAGUCUGGUUGUUGAGAGCAGAAUGGUUUUUAACCUUCAAGUAUUUUUUUUUUUUUUUCGGCAUUAUAGAGAUAUACUUGCAGCUGUGAUAUGCUAAUCUCUUUUAUGUUUUCAUGAUGUUCAAUGUUUAGUUUUAAAUAUUUUUUGAGAAGGGAAAUUAUGAUAUGAGAAGUUGUAAUUAUUUGGAACACAUAUCCUAGUUUUAUGUUGUUGUCUUUUUUUAUUAUUUUACUAGUCCUGUUACACAAAAAUGGUGUCAAGAAUAAUGACAUUAUAAUUAAAUAGUUAAAAAUGGAGGGAAAGUUUACUCCACUUGUGUGGAGUCAAUUUCAAUGACCUAAGUAGUAUAACAUUUAUUAAUGCUGUUGAUAUUUGUUUGAACAUAUGUCAUUUCCAUACCACAAGCAAAUGUUCAUGUUCAUGUUCCAAACCAGCACUGGAGAGUUACAUCCACUCAGUAAAAUCAUGUUAUAAGCAAAUAAACAUUAUUUUUUUUGCAUGUAUUUAGACACCAAUAACCCAAAGACUAAAGCAUUUUACAGCACCAUACUUCACAGGUUUUCUGUUUUCUGGUCUCAACACCAAACAAAACACACUGACACUUUUUGCAUAGUGUUGUCUUUUUCACAGACAAGAGAGCAAACAUGUUGUGUUAUAGUAUGGAGGUAAUUUAGAGGGGGGAAAAAAACAUAAAAAAUUUUAGAUAUCUUUAAACCAAAAUGUAAAGUAUGUGGUUUGUGACUGUGAAAUGUUCACAGAACAUGAUAUUUGCAGCUCUUAUUGAAAAAGAGGUGCACUGUACAGUUUUCAAGCCAGUUAUAAUAACCAAGAAUGAGCAAACCUGCGGGAAAAAGGCUGCAUCUGUUCUUGCCAUUUGAUACCUUGCAUUAUCAGAAAAGGCAGGAUAUGUGCAAAAACAAAUCACAUCUCCAUUAUUUUUUUUUAUUUAUUUAUUUUUUUUAUGGAGAGGGAUCAGUGCAGGCAGACAACCACUGCUGUUUUGGAGAGGCAGCAAACAAACGAAAGACCUAUGUCACCUUGUUCAGUUGCGAGUACAAGGAUUUUAUGCAACAAUCAGAAACCUCUCACAACACAGCAGCAAGAAUUGGAGACAGCAGCCUAAUUUAUCUUUCUUAAGUCUUGGCAAAUAGUUCACAUGGACUGCCAAACUACUCAGGUUCCCCACAGCAGUGGAAAAACUGAGUGAAACAAUGACAAAGCUUGGUCUGUGCGACUGGUUUUAUUAGGUGGAAGGAAAUUUGUGGAUAUCAUGCCUCUCUUGCAAAGUGUACAACCCAGUCCUGCCAGAAUAAAUGUUGGCCAAGAGCGCUUCUGCAAAACAACAAAUUAUUGUAAGUUAACAUCUUUUUAGAUUCAAUAUAAAUUAGUGCAUUUGUCACAAUGCUGUGAUUUUGGUCUGGUUAGGUUUAGGCCAAAAAAGAACAAACAACAACAAUAUUUUGUUGGAAAAAGAUCAUGAUUUGGCUUUAAAAACUUGUCUUGGUUGCCACAAACACAACUGGAGAUAUUCCUGGAUGUUGUUAAAACAUAUCUAGUUAUUUCACACCUGAUUUACUUGAACUGUGGUCACUAACUUGGCAUCCUUCGCGCCUGUAACUCUACUAUCAUCCCCUUUAUUUCUCAACAUGUCAGGUAACAAACAUGUAAUAUGAAUGUGAUAUGACAUGUGUUGUGGAAAUGUCAAUACAGUACAUGGCCUAUGACAAGUAAAAAUGUGAGUGAUUCAGUGGUUUUCUGAAACGUUCAGUGCCAACCUUUUAUCUUGAUGACUGGGCUGAACAGGUGUAUGUGUACAUUCAAACACUACUAUCUACUGCCUCUUGGUCUUGGUUUCUGCAAUAACUGCAGUCCACAUCAUUGGAUUAUGUGUAGCACUAA
Acanthopagrus latus (yellowfin seabream) is the source of this 4155-nucleotide RNA transcript. It is a transcript of the gene named neurotrimin, with no coding region annotated. The record is from RefSeq and is a predicted model, not a curated record. The transcript is spliced from 8 exons. Lineage: Eukaryota; Metazoa; Chordata; Actinopteri; Spariformes; Sparidae.